AUACUUACCUGGCAUGGGAGAUACCUUGAUCACAAAGGUGGUUUUUCCAGGGCGAGGCUUAUCCAUUGCACCCUGACCUCUGUGAUUUCCCCAAAUGCGGGGAAAACUCGACUGCAUAAUUUGUGGUAGUGGGGGACUGUGUUCGUGCUCUCCCCUG
Apodemus sylvaticus (European woodmouse) is the source of this 157-nucleotide small nuclear RNA. RefSeq annotates it as U1 spliceosomal RNA. The record is from RefSeq and is a predicted model, not a curated record. The transcript has a single exon. NCBI's taxonomy places the organism in Eukaryota, Metazoa, Chordata, Mammalia, Rodentia, Muridae.